AUCAACAAACAUUUAUUCUAAUAACCACUGUACUGGGCUCAAGAGGGAAGGAAAUCUGGCUACGGUAACACACACCUGUAACCCCAGCACUUGAGAGACUGACAUCUGAAAGAUUCAAAGAACAUUUGAGAUUGAACUGGGAGCAAACAGAGGGAGACUUGGAAGAGGAUGAGUAAACCCUGGAGCACGUGAUCGUCUAAGAGCAUCAGAGGAAGAGAUGCUGUUCCAGGGGAAAGGAAAGGAGAACAAGGAGACUGAAGAUGCUGCUUGGUUGCUCCUGCAUCUCUGGAUAAACUGACAAAGGAAAAGAAUGAGGUCCGUGAUAAAAUGAACCAGCUCCUAGCAUCUCAGAAUAUGAUGAAGGACAACAAUGAACUCAGUGAUAAAACUGACCAGCUCCAGAUGCACACAAAUAAUCUAAUGGUUUAUAAGUGUGCCCUGGAAGAGACUCUUCUCUCCAGCAGCCACAGAGCUCACGUUGCAGAAAAUCAAACCAAAGCCCGCAUUAUUAGAUUGGCUGAACUACAGCAAAAAUUCAAGUCCCAGCCACGGAGGGUGUCAGAAGCUAAAGUCAGGGCAUUACUUGGUAAAGAAUGGGAUCCUGUAACUUGGGAUAGACGUGUGGGAGGACCCCACUGAAGCUGAGAACUUUGAACCCUCAGAUUCCUAAGGAUUUAUCUCACCUGAGGAGGUUGUCUCUCCAUCUUCAGCAGAAGAUGUACUCCCACCCCCUGAAAUGGUGCCUCUUUUGCCUUUGAUGAAAUGAAUCCUUCAUUGUCUGCCAAACAGCUGGUUAGCUCCUCUGAAGGAGAUGCCAGACAAGACAGUACUCACAUCCCUCAGGGCCCACCAAUAGUUAGUUACCUUUAGACCUUAAGGCUUUAGACUUAAGGCCAGGAAGGCUCCUAGAGGGGAGAUAGAAAGUGUAGUCCAUGAGGAGGUACACUACACUACUACAGAGCUUAAUGAGUUUGCUAAUUCAUUCAAGUAGAAGUCUGGGGAAUAUGUGUGGGAAUGGAUUUAAAGGGUGUGAGAUAACGGUAGAAGGAACAUAAGACUGGAUGAGGCUGAGUCUAUCGAUAUGAUCCUAUUCAGUGGAGAUUCUAGGUUUAAUAUGGAAGCUUCCACAGUUAAAAAAAAAAAAAAAUGCCAGAAAUUUGUUUGAAUGGCUGGCUGAAGCAUUUGCCAAAAAGAUAACUACUGAAAAGGAGUUGGAGAUGCCUGAUAUCCCUUAGCUUAGUGCUAAUCAAGGGAUUUUAAGGCUCAGGGAAAUUGCAAUGCUAGAGUGGGUGUGCUGUGUAAAAGCUAACCCUCCACAAUGGAAAGGCCCAGAAGACGUGCCCUUCACUAAUCACUAAUCGUAUAAGACCCAAAAUGGUGAAAGGGUCACCAGCACAUUUGAAGGGCUUUGUUGUCACCCUUUUCCUUGUGCCAGACCUCAGGGUUGGAGACGCUGUUGCUCAGUUGGAUGGAUUAAAUGCAAUGGGUUUAAUUGGGCCCCAAGGUAGCAGGGGCCAGGUGGUAGCAUUGAAUGACCAAAGGCAAAGGCCAGGUGAGCGUAGUUAUCAUAGUGUGCAGCAUAGACAAUGCAAUGUCCGUGGUGGGCUGACCUGUUAUUGGUCAGCACAUGUAAAAUGGUUUUUAUGGUGGCGUGACUUGUAUGGACCUUUGGUACUAGCUAGCCAAUCAUGUUUCCAGGCAUGAAAUAAAUAAGAAGCCAGUAAGCAGCACCCCUCCAUGGCCUCUGCACUAGUUCUUGCCUCCAUGUUCCUGUCCUGUUUCAGUUUUUGUCCUGACUUUACUCAAUGAUGAACAGUGAUG
Molecule: long non-coding RNA, 1821 nt
Organism: Onychomys torridus (southern grasshopper mouse)
Lineage: Eukaryota; Metazoa; Chordata; Mammalia; Rodentia; Cricetidae
Exons: 3
Source: RefSeq, a predicted model, not a curated record